AUUGAACGCUGGCGGCAUGCCUUACACAUGCAAGUCGAACGGCAGCACGGGAGCAAUCCUGGUGGCGAGUGGCGAACGGGUGAGUAACAUAUCGGAACGUGCCCAGUCGUGGGGAUAACGUAGCGAAAGCUACGCUAAUACCGCAUACGAUCUAUGGAUGAAAGCGGGGGAUCGCAAGACCUCGCGCGAUUGGAGCGGCCGAUAUCAGAUUAGGUAGUUGGUGAGGUAAAGGCUCACCAAGCCGACGAUCUGUAGCUGGUCUGAGAGGACGACCAGCCACACUGGGACUGAGACACGGCCCAGACUCCUACGGGAGGCAGCAGUGGGGAAUUUUGGGACAAUGGGCGCAAGCCUGAUCCAGCAAUGCCGCGUGCAGGAUGAAGGCCUGGUGUAACU
This 396-nucleotide ribosomal RNA is filed under the name uncultured bacterium. Its description in RNAcentral is "bacterial SSU rRNA". It matches the Rfam family "Bacterial small subunit ribosomal RNA", at positions 30 to 431 of the family's 1533-position model. The record is from RNAcentral.